RNAcentral lists this ribosomal RNA (424 nucleotides) under Verrucomicrobiota bacterium. RNAcentral describes it as "Verrucomicrobia bacterium partial 16S ribosomal RNA". It matches the Rfam family "Bacterial small subunit ribosomal RNA", at positions 355 to 776 of the family's 1533-position model. Lineage: Bacteria; Pseudomonadati; Verrucomicrobiota. The record is from RNAcentral.
UGAGGAAUAUUGGUCAAUGGGCGAGCGCCUGAACCAGCCAAGUAGCGUGCAGGAUGACGGCCCUAUGGGUUGUAAACUGCUUUUAUAUGGGAAUAAAGUGAGGGACGUGUCCCUUAUUGCAUGUACCAUACGAAUAAGGACCGGCUAAUUCCGUGCCAGCAGCCGCGGUAAUACGGAAGGUCCAGGCGUUAUCCGGAUUUAUUGGGUUUAAAGGGAGCGUAGGCUGUUUGUUAAGCGUGUUGUGAAAUGUAAGAGCUCAACUUUUAGAUUGCAGCGCGAACUGGCAGACUUGAGUGCGCACAACGUAGGCGGAAUUCAUGGUGUAGCGGUGAAAUGCUUAGAUAUCAUGACGAACUCCGAUUGCGAAGGCAGCUUACGGGAGCGCAACUGACGCUAAAGCUCGAAGGUGCGGGUAUCGAACAGG